CGUUGCACACAAACUCUGCCUGGGCUUCGCUCUGCUGGUCGUUUGCGUCCCACCCUCCGCUGCUUUCUCUCAGCAUACUACAGAGAAUCCUCCGGGGGAGUUCAUACACGGAAGCCUCUAAGUCUGGAAACACUGCAGGUCAUAUGGAAUCCAGUGAAGAUGAAGGUCCACUCAGUGUUGGAGGCUCCUCUGGUGAGGAGAAUUACUUCCUGGGCUACACAUUCACUGAUCGGUCACACUCCGGCCGUGUGGUGAAGAGCAUCAUGGAUCUCUGCUUGGAAGACGGCCUCUUUGCCGACGUCACCGUCAUGGUGGAUGGCCGGGAGUUCCACCUGCACCGCCUGCUGCUGUCGGCCCAGAGCCUCUUCUUCCGCUCAAUGUUCACGUCGAACCUGAAGGAGGCGCAGAACCGCAGCAUCGAGCUGAAGGGGGUCAGCGCCCCCAUCUUUCAGCUUCUGGUCGACUACAUCUACCACGGUACCAUAAAACUGAGGGUGGAGGACCUUCAGGACAUCUACGAGAUGGCCGACAUGUACCAGCUGACGGCACUUUUCGAGGAGUGCUCCCGUUUCUUAUCACGCACCACGGAGGUCAAGAAUUGUCUGCAGGUAAUGUGGUUGGCUGAUACGCACAGUGAUCAGGAGCUCUACACAGCUGCUAAGCACUGUGCCAAGAUCCACCUGGUUCAGCUCCACCAAUCAGAGGAGUUUCUCAAUCUGCCCCUGCGUCUCCUCAUGGACAUCAUCAAAGAUGGGGUACCAACUUCCCAGAAUCCUACUGGAGCUAUUGAUUCGUGGAUAAACCAUAACAGGGUGGAAAGACAGGAGUUCUCCAACAUGUUGCUGGACAGCUUGAAGGAGAUUGGCGAGAACGUGCACAUCUACCUGAUCGGCAAAGAGGAAACGCGCACGCACUCGCUGGCCGUGUCCCUGCACUGUGACGAAGACGACAGCAUCAGCGUCUGUGGCCAGAACAGUCUGUGCCACCAGAUCACGGCCGCCUGCAAGCACGGGGGUGACCUCUAUGUGGUGGGAGGGUCCAUCCCCCGUCGCAUGUGGAAGUGCAACAUGCACACCAUGGACUGGGAGCUCUGUGCCCCAUUACUACGCGACCGACUGCAGCAGACGCUAGUGUCGGUGCCCAGCGAGGACGUCAUUUACUCUUUGGGUGGCAAGACUCUGCAGGACACACUUUCCAAUGUUGUCAUUUACUACACGGUGCAGGACAACAUGUGGACCGAGACAAGCCGGCUGGACACGGCCGUGUCGGGGGCAGCCGGCGUCAACCUGGGUGGCACUAUCUACUUGCUCGGGGGCGAGGAGAACGACAUGGACUUUUUCAGCAAGCCCUCGCGGCUCAUCCAGUGCUUCGACAUGGCGGCCCAGAAGUGCCACAUGAAGCCGUACGUGCUGCCGUUCGCGGGGCGCAUGCAUGCCACCGCGCACAAGGACCUGAUCUUCGUGGUGGCCGAGGGCGAUUCCCUGGUGUGCUACAACCCGCUGCUGGAGAGCUUCACGCGCCUCCGCUUCCCCGACACGUGGAGCUGUGUGCCGUCGCUCUGGAAGGUGGCCAGCUGCAACGGCUGCAUUUACGUCUUCCGGGACAAGUGCAAGAAGGGCGACGCCAACACGCUGAAGCUGAACCCGGCCACCUCCGUGGUGUCCGUCAUUAAGGGGAUCAAGAUCUUGCUCACGAACUGGCAGUUUGUCUUGGCUUAAUGCCUCUAUAUUUCCUGUUUUCCUCUUUUUUCUGUCUUUUUUUGCCAGCUUGGUAUUUGCUCUCCAGACAUUGCGGGGGUCUCCAUGCAAGCUUUCCACCCACCCACAUAUCCACCCAAAUUAGCCAAUCUCAGCAGAUGGCACAUUUCUUAUGUAUACAAGUGGCUUUUUGCUCCGUUUGGUCUUUUUGCAGCAUGAGUCAUAGUAGUUCAUUUUAUCAGAAUAUUCAUUUAUUAUAUCUCUGUUCAGUUUGUUUUCCACCUCAGCUUAUGUCGGGAGAAAUGUGUUUUGUCAUUGUGAGGGCUCUUUCACCGUCAUGAAAAAAGCGGAACGAAUUACAUUGGCAUCCCUCUCAGAUGGAAAAGGUUGCUUCUGGUGUUUAGAUAAUCAAGUACAGAUUCCCCAAAAGGCAGCAUGACAUCCACACACAGCCGCUAGCCACAAAUUAAAGGCCUCAGAUGAGACUGAGGGGUCCAAUGUGCAGAAUCAUGUUUCUACCAUGUUUUUUUUAUUAUUAUUUUUUUUUGCUUGGUUAAAUAUACAUCCAGUCUUUUAUCGUUAUGGAAAACAGUUCUGUUGCUGAUCGGCCCUGUGUUUUCAAAUAUUCAUGCGUGCAUUACAUAUCUUGAUAAUAUUUUUCAUUUGGAUCACCCAGUAGUUUCCAAAACCAUCCGUUAUUGCAGCUAAUUGGCACAGUUUGUGCAUAAAGUACUUUAAGGGAGUAUGUUUGGUGGAGUUUUGUCAUUUGGAAAAACUGCAAGCCAUAGAAAAGUAACAUUGUAGGACGUAGCAUAGACUAUUAGAUAUGUUUAGGUUAAUUUAAUCCUUUAAUGUUUACCAACUGACUGUUUACCAAAUGUUUGCUGUACUGAACUAACAUCAUAAUGUUAAGACAGGUAUCCCCCACUUUAAAGACACAGAAGUGGAUCAUUCCUAUGAAACCUUUCCAAAUCUGAAAUGGUGUAAAGUGAAGAAGUAAUUACCAUUAAUUUGUAUAGCAGAAUUUUUUGAGAAUUUCUAGACCCACAAAUAACCCAUCAAAUCAUACCAAAUAACAUUAACGUAUAGUAAAAGCAGGAAUGAUAACGAUAAAACCUAGAUGGUAUCAUCUACUACACACUUAGGCUAUAUGGUAUAGCCUAAAUAAUGAUUUAAAAUGUCCAGUAUAGUAAAUACAUAAAUGAGCAACAUAGUUGUAUCAUUAUCAAUAUCAUUAUCAAGUAAUAUGUAUUGUACAUAAUUGUAUUUGUUAUAAUUUUAUAUGACUGGCAGCACAGUAGGUUUGUUUACACCAGAAUCACCACAAGCACAAGUACCGUGUUGUGCUACGAUGUCACUAGGCAAAAGGAGUUUCAUCUCCAUUAUAAUCUUAUGGGACUGCCGUCGUAUAUGUGGUCCGUCGUCAACCGAAACGUUGUUAUGCGGAACAGGCCUGUAUAUCAGUAAUCGGCUCACUGAUUGGCUCGCUUUGAAUUUCUUUCAGCUGGCAAAAGCAGGUGUAGGGUUAAUGCAGGUCUUUUGAAAAAGAGAAACGGCGUAAAGCAAACGUCCGUAAAGCGGGGAUACCUGUAUAAGUGCAUUAAAUGAUUUUAAAGCUCAGAGUGUUUCAAGUUAACACUGAAGUAUGCCCUGCAUGAAAGAACUUCCUUUGGCUCUGGUGUGGCAAACAGUGAGUUUCUAAUUAACUUUAAACAUGUUUCCGUGUAAGUGACGCACACAGCAAGUUUGAGGGUUUGUAACUCGUUGUGACCUCUGGUAAUGUGAUUUUGUUUGACUUGCCAGAUAGUAUUGAGAUAGUAUUGUCAAGGUUGUACCGUUUGAUAGGCAUGGAUCCAUCUAUCCAUUACCAGACCAGAUACAUAAUGGGAAUAGUAGAAAGUGUUAUGUGGUGUUUAUGAACAUUCAUUCCUAAGAAUCCCAAAAUCAUGCUAAUCUACCUUCCAUACCAGAUUCUCACUAACAAAGCCAUCUUUUUCAUGUUGUAAAUUAUGAGCCCAUAGGUUGAAGAAAGAGAUUGUGAGAAGGUGGCAAAAUUUCUACUAUGUCAGUAUGGAUGAUGGGGGAGACUAGAGGGAGGCACAUCAGGCUGCACUCGGCGACCUGCUUCUGCCAUUGUGAGGUGAUGGUUGACAACAUGGUCUAUAAUUGUGGCCUGAAUUUCAUCGGGGACAGCAUGGUGUCUUCGUGCUCCUCAGCCUCUUCCCCCUAUUGCACCACCACGCAUCCUCACUCCUCCUCCUCCGAGCAGGAAGUUGCCCUUGUUCAUUUACUUGGAGAGGUACCUCCAUGUUUAUACUGCAAAUGGUACUGGCCCUGGCCAAGCUCCUUAUAUAGAUGUUUGGCAGCAUUCACAACCAUAGACAGCACCUGUCAGGUAACUAAACAAACGGUUUGGUUGGUGAUCUGAGAUGUGGGAAACUCCUCCUUCGUUAGUCAAGUUCUAAUUUCACCUGACUCUCAAUUACUGUGAUGAAUUUAUCAAAUGUUCCAAGAAAUUCAUACAUGUUGUUCAUGGUAUUAUAUUCUUGACUAAUUUUGACAAUUGAACAUUGUGCAUAUGAUCACUUACACAAUGAAAUCAUGCUGACAUGUUUUGGAGAGAACAACCAUUAGACUGAGAAUCAACUAAUCAGUUUAGAUAAGCAAGAUCUAUUUAUUUGGAAAAUGUGCUAAAUGUGGGCUCAUUGUGCUAAUUGUAGGCUACUAGUACAUAACUGUUUGCAAAGAUGCACUGAGACACUUGAGACAUGUACUAAGACAUUUGCAAUUUGAUGACAUCAAUGAGAAAUGCCAUUCUGUUGUGAACAAUUGCAAGGUGGUUUGGAGAUUUGCCCAUGUUAUUUUGAGAAUGUCAUUUCUGUUUCAAGAAAUGAGCCAAACCAAUGGAGAAAAACUGGAGAAUACAGGCCUUAACCCUUGUAUUGUCGUUGUUAAUGUUAAUGGUUGCGUUUCUCUGUUGUUGCGCGUGUGUUUGCCCGUGUCCUGUGAGUAUCUGGUGCGAUCCUUGCGUGUGUUUAGCGUGUGCAAAUCUUCCGUGUGUGCAUCUUGCAGUUCAGCGGCUUACAGCCUGGUUUCUCGCCUGUGUAUUUGGGUUCGGUGCUUGUCGGGUGCCUGUUGUGGUCUUUCUAUUUACAAUUGCACGCGGGGCAUGUUGGGACAUGCAGGGGCAUGCUGGGACAUGUCCCCUGCCAGUGCUAUACUAGUAUGAAAAGGGAAUCUGGUCAAGGAAUCUGUUCGUCAACCAAAUUUUGUACACGCACCAAUGCAUUUGUUUUGCCGUAGUUUGCCAUAGUUUUAGGUAAUCUUUAAUACAUUGUGUACUGUAUAGUGUAUUCUUAUAAGAAAAAGAAACGGUGGAAACUCCUAAAUAGUUUGAGCUACUUUAUAUCGGAGGCAGUAUCAGAUGAAAUACUGGGUGGGCUGUUCUAUUUUAUAAAGUAAAGUUUAUUUUUGAGAGUUAUUUUUAAAAGUAGGUAUACACUUAUUUCACAGUACUGGUAACACCUUUCCACAGUGCUGGAUCGUGAAAUGUGGCAGCACUGACUGGCCACCACGUUCACCCAACCUGACACUCAUGCGAUAUUGUAAAGGAGAAGGUUUUAGAGAGGAAGACCCACACAGUGUAUGAUUUGAAAGGGGUUUAUCUCACAAUACUAACCGGGAGAAUGUUGAUGGAGGACGUUUCGAACAUCUAAGAGACUAAACGUGAUCCAAUCAGUGCUGUAAAAAAAAAAAAAACUAUAUCUACUUUUGGCUCACCCUGUAUAUACAAAAUAAGAAACGUUUAAGCAUAUAUGCAUAGACAUUUACAAACCUUAGUGUGCAGUGUACUUAAAAGUGUGAUAUGCAGAAGAGGGAUCAGGGUGACAUUGUGCUGUAUUUGAAAGAAAAAAAUAAAUUAUCUGAAAGUAUGGUAAAUAACCAAACUAAUUCAGUCAGUCUCCCCCCCACAACUAAACUUAAACAUAGCAAAAAGCCACAUAUAUAAUUUUUAAAAUGACCUAUAUUCUUAAAGGCAAGCAGUUGUCUACAUAUGCAAUUUCGAGUGACGCUUCUCACCAACAUUGGUUUGUCUAGUUGUAUUUAGCAACAUGCUGCAUGCAGAUGUGAGCUGUACUGGAAGAUAGUAUUAUUCAGUGCUGAAUGUGAUCGUGGUGUAUUGAGGAAAGUAUUCUAGGCUUUUAGCUUUGGUAUUUACCCCAGGACUGUAAAACUCCACAUCUCCUAAGAAAACAACAGUUAUACUGUGCGUUACUGUAGUAACACCAUUGUUUGAAAGGAGUUGCUACACCCAAGGACUGGCUGGUGGUGUAUGGUUGGGUGUAUGUAGUGAUUAUCAAUUUAAAAUAUACAGAAAGUUAAAUCAUUCGCAUUUGCAGAUAUCAUACUCAGAAGAGUUAACACCAAGACUGGGUUAAUGAUUACAUGAGUGCUGUUUUGUCUCAUUCCACUUACUUUAUUUCAGGCAUUUUUACUCUAGACCUUCUUACCCACAAUCCAGCAGAGCUAACACAGCAGAAUUAUUGAACAAGACCUAAUUUUUUUCCCCGUCAUUUAUUUUAAUCACUUUGUAAAUGAAUCGGUUUCCAAAAAAAUAAAAUAAAUGGUGAGCUGGAGAGUGACACACCCAAUGCCACAUACAAGAUAUCUGUAAAACAGGCAGCCUGAGACACACACUCGGUCUUAGAAUCAUUCUCACAUAGCUUAGUUUCACUUUGACUGGUCAACUAUCUUAGCCCACUGGCAACAGAAUUAUUGGGAAGAAAAAAAAAAACUACAAAAUCUUCAUUCAAAAUCUACCUCUAAUAAGCAUGUAAACAAACCUUCA
Molecule: RNA transcript, 6546 nt
Organism: Brienomyrus brachyistius
Lineage: Eukaryota; Metazoa; Chordata; Actinopteri; Osteoglossiformes; Mormyridae
Gene: kbtbd4
Gene name: kelch repeat and BTB (POZ) domain containing 4
Exons: 6
Source: RefSeq, a predicted model, not a curated record